GUGGCGAACGGGUGAGUAACACGUGAGCAAUCUGCCCUUGACUCUGGGAUAACUGGGGGAAACUGUAGCUAAUACCGGAUACUUUCCUCGCUGGGCAUCCAGCGGGGAAGAAAGAAUUUCGGUCAAGGAUGAGCUCGCGGCCUAUCAGCUAGUUGGUGAGGUAAUGGCUCACCAAGGCGACGACGGGUAGCCGGCCUGAGAGGGUGACCGGCCACACUGGAACUGAGACACGGUCCAGACUCCUACGGGAGGCAGCAGUGGGGAAUAUUGCACAAUGGGCGAAAGCCUGAUGCAGCAACGCCGCGUGAGGGAUGAAGGCCUUCGGGUUGUAAACCUCUUUUAGCAGGGAAGAAGCGAAAGUGACGGUACCUGCAGAAAAAGCACCGGCUAACUACGUGCCAGCAGCCGCGGUAAUACGUAGGGUGCAAGCGUUGUCCGGAAUUAUUGGGCGUAAAGAGCUCGUAGGCGGUUUGUCACGUCUGCUGUGAAAAUCCGAGGCUCAACCUCGGACUUGCAGUGGGUACGGGCAGGCUAGAGUGCGGUAGGGGAGAAGGGAAUUCCUGGUGUAGCGGUGGAAUGCGCAGAUAUCAGGAGGAACACCAAUGGCGAAGGCACUUCUCUGGGCCGUAACUGACGCUGAGGAGCGAAAGCGUGGGGAGCGAACAGGAUUAGAUACCCUGGUAGUCCAC
RNAcentral lists this ribosomal RNA (689 nucleotides) under uncultured Microbacteriaceae bacterium. RNAcentral's name for it is "bacterial SSU rRNA". It matches the Rfam family "Bacterial small subunit ribosomal RNA", at positions 95 to 798 of the family's 1533-position model. The record is from RNAcentral. Lineage: Bacteria; Bacillati; Actinomycetota; Actinomycetes; Micrococcales; Microbacteriaceae.